GAAGCGGGAAGCCGGCACCGGCGCAUGGCCGGGUAAGACCGGCACCGCCGAUCCGCAAGAAUCGGCUACC
Molecule: non-coding RNA, 70 nt
Filed under: Thermaerobacter subterraneus DSM 13965
Lineage: Bacteria; Bacillati; Bacillota; Clostridia; Eubacteriales; Clostridiales Family XVII. Incertae Sedis
Description: Transposase-2 RNA
Rfam family: Transposase-2 RNA
Source: Rfam by way of RNAcentral